GUUCUCACUUUGGCAGCACAUCUACUAAAAUUGGAACAAUGCAGAGAAGAUUAGCAUGGCCCCUGCACAAGGAUGACACUCAAAUUCGUGAAACGAUGAAGAUUUCU
Molecule: small nuclear RNA, 107 nt
Filed under: Jaculus jaculus (lesser Egyptian jerboa)
Lineage: Eukaryota; Metazoa; Chordata; Mammalia; Rodentia; Dipodidae
Source: RNAcentral